This 459-nucleotide ribosomal RNA is filed under the name uncultured bacterium. Its description in RNAcentral is "partial 16S ribosomal RNA". It matches the Rfam family "Bacterial small subunit ribosomal RNA", at positions 338 to 795 of the family's 1533-position model. The record is from RNAcentral.
CCUACGGGAGGCAGCAGUGAGGAAUAUUGGUCAAUGGCCGGAAGGCUGAACCAGCCAAGCCGCGUGAAGGACGAAGGUGCCAAGCAUUGUAAACUUCUUUUGUCAAGGGACAAAAUCAGGCUCGAGAGCCUGACCGAGGGUACUUGAAGAAAAAGCAUCGGCCAACUCCGUGCCAGCAGCCGCGGUAAUACGGAGGAUGCGAGCGUUAUCCGGAUUUAUUGGGUUUAAAGGGUGCGUAGGGGGACUGUUAAGUCAGCGGUAAAAGCCCGGGGCUCAACCCCGGCGAGCCGUUGAAACUGGCUGGCUUGAGAGGGCGAGAGGUAUGCGGAAUGCGCAGUGUAGCGGUGAAAUGCUUAGAUAUUGCGCAGAACUCCGAUUGCGAAGGCAGCAUACCGGCGGCGAUCUGACGCUGAGGCACGAAAGCGUGGGUAUCGAACAGGAUUAGAUACCCCAGUAGUC